This 728-nucleotide long non-coding RNA is filed under the name Mustela putorius furo (domestic ferret). RNAcentral's name for it is "lncRNA (ENSMPUG00000025607.1)". Lineage: Eukaryota; Metazoa; Chordata; Mammalia; Carnivora; Mustelidae. The record is from RNAcentral.
CUUAGGUCCUAUGAGCUGUGCUGGAGGAAAUACUUGAAACUGGUACCCACCAGGAGCAUCCCUUCCUCCCUGGUGCGUCUGGGGAUCUGGAGUAGUGAGCUACAGCGCUGUCACCAUCUCACACUGGACUUGACAUUCCAGAAUUGGAACUGGCUCCACAUCAGGGAGCACAGUCCAUGAGGAAAGGCUUCAAAGUACCUCUGCUCUUUGACCAGAAGACGUAAAAUUUCUAUUACCAUAUUUUACCAUUCUCUUUGUGGAAGUAGAUCGGAUCUUUAAAGAAGUUCAGUUUCUUGAAUGUUAUUGUGUGUUUACUAUGAGCGAUGUAUGGUAGGUUAUAAGGGAAACGGCGAUGAAUAAGAAAAGGACUUGGGGGUGGGAAGAGUAUAUGGAAGUAACUGAAACAUGAAGCCAAACAAACAGCAAAGUGUCAGACCUGGAAGAACUGGGUUUGAUUCUGGUCUUCACUACCUACUGUGUGAUUUUAGGGGUAUGGAGGUUCCUUCCUUGAGCAUCCUUGAGCAUCACCCUCAUAUGGAGAAUUAAAAAUAGCCCUGGGAAGGAAAGGCAGGGAGCAGAGGUGAAGAGAGUGGAAUGUUGCUGUUAGAGAAAUGACUGGCAGUGUUUAUUUUCAAUCACAGAACUGCACAUCCAUGCUCACCGAGUGUCUGUCCACAUCCAGGUCUUAGUCUGGGAAUGUUCCAAAUGAGGCAAAGCUUGGAAUUACA